AUUGAUGAGCAGGCAGGACAUUUGCAUGAAUUUGAAUUCUCCACUGGCAAUAGGCUUAAGAGCAGAGAGGACAGCUGGCUCUGCAGACAAUUCAGUCCUGAUCCCAUCUUCCACCAUGGCUUGGCUGCCUCUUCUUCUCAUCCUCUCCUCUUCCUUUAUGGGGAGUUUUUCCCAGUUUGUCCUGAAUCAACCAGCCUCUGUGUCUGGAUCUCUUAGAGAGACAGUCCAAAUCUCUUGUAAAAAAAGCAGUGGAACAA
Molecule: long non-coding RNA, 257 nt
Organism: Crotalus tigris (Tiger rattlesnake)
Lineage: Eukaryota; Metazoa; Chordata; Lepidosauria; Squamata; Viperidae
Exons: 2
Source: RefSeq, a predicted model, not a curated record